Long non-coding RNA from Apis cerana (Asiatic honeybee), 1217 nucleotides. RefSeq lists it as uncharacterized. Lineage: Eukaryota; Metazoa; Arthropoda; Insecta; Hymenoptera; Apidae. The record is from RefSeq and is a predicted model, not a curated record.
AGCAAGGUGAUUGGAAACCGAACAGACGUAUCUUAGAAAUAGCACGUAACUAAAACUGACUCUACAGUCUGUUGACCCUUUAAAUGUCCGUACACACAUGGAAGAAUACGAUAUAAUAUAAAACAUUUCAUGUGCAUCACUGUUUUAAAUGGUCUGUUUUUAAAAUGCUUUAUCGAUUGUAGUUAAUAAGUAAUGAAGAAUAACAAGGUAAUGAAGAUAAUAUUCUCAUAUUUCGAUUAAGCAAAAUCUCGUGAACUGUCGGUCACAUGAAAAUAACCACAAUCAGCAUGUAUGAAUUAUGUACAAAAAGACACUUAUUUGACAAGUAAUUGAAUUUUCUUAAAUGAACACUGGUCUUAAACACUAAUUGGAGAUAAUUCAGAAAUCUUAUGAGUUUUAUAUAACAGUAACUAAAAGAUAACAAAGGAAAGCCGCUAGGCGAGUCACACCAACACGAGGAGGAUCUGUUUCCAAAAUAUUGCAAAGGAUUCUAUAAUGCAUGUAUACGCGAUUACCCAGAAUCCAAAGGUCUUCAGAUAAUCCAUGAGAUGGUUUGAUCUGGAUGCGCGGCGUCGGGACGCAAGGUUACAGCGGUCGUCGGGUCAGCAACACCACGGCCGCCCUCCUCUCACUCUCUUUCUCCCCGUUCCCUUCCUCACCCUAUAUCAUCCUUCCCUCCCUACGUUCUCCUGCCCUUCCUUCCUUCCUAGCGUCCCACCCCUCUCAACCAGCUAGUUAGCCAGCCCUUCCUCUCGAUCUUUCUCCUUUAUUUAUCCUCCCGUUUCCGUGUCAUGAUGCGCCAUCUUUUGUGAACCCAUAGAGAUUAUUUUUAACAAUUAUUGGGCGAAAUAUAUGGGAUAAUAUAUUAAUAAGUAUCUAUAAUUUUAUUAGCUAUUACGAAUAUAUAUUACGAAUAUAUUUAUCAGAUUAAUAAAUAAUAAUACAUAAAUUGAUUAAUACUUAAGUAAGCUUAUAAGAUUUAAUUUCAAACAAAGGAAAUCAUCGACAAUCUUUCCCCCCUAGUGAUAAAUUCUUGUUUGUUACUAGGUCAAACUCUCUAUUUUUUUUAUUAAUUUUUCAGAUUUAAAUUUGUAUAAAAUAUAUGCACAAAUAAAAAUAAAUAUUGAUGUAAAUGAAUAUACGAUAAAAACGAAUAUAUUGUUGUAAUAUGAUUUAUUAUUACAACAUUACUAGACAAUAAAAAAAGUUCAAUUCAA